Molecule: long non-coding RNA, 1410 nt
Organism: Papaver somniferum (opium poppy)
Lineage: Eukaryota; Viridiplantae; Streptophyta; Magnoliopsida; Ranunculales; Papaveraceae
Exons: 6
Source: RefSeq, a predicted model, not a curated record
UCUUAUUGCUUUUUUCUUAUUCAUUUUUUUUAUUAUUGUUAAUAAUAAUAAUGAAUAUCGGAUCUUUUUGAUGAUGUUUGGUUUUUGAUUUGCAGAUGUUGGUUGUGAAUCUCUUUGCUUUAGUGGCGAUAAAUCAGCAUUCAAUGAUGUCGUGUAAUGAUGAGGUGAUGAGUUUGAUAUUUUUUUUCUUAGAAUCUGUGUUUUGAGCAUUUUUAGUUUUCUAUGGGAAAAAGAAUUUGGGGAGAAUAAUAUGUGUACCUGAAACCAGAUCAACUUUCUGUUUAUUUUUACACUGGCAAUCAAAAUUCUUGCUUUUUCUAAUUUUUGGAUUCAUCAUUUACUGCCUUCAUCAGUAGCAUGACAUACUUUAUUUUUCUUUUCCUAAUUCUUAAUUUUUUUUGUUUGUUUCCUGCAUUUGCUGCCUUCAACAGUAACACGACUUAUUCUAUUUUUUUUCCCAAUUCAUAAUAUUUUUUUUCCUCAUUAAUGCAUGAUGCGGUUUCUUUUCAACCAGAUUAUGGUAAGAAAUUUACGAAUAUCAAUCGAUAUUAUUUCCAAGAUUUAGUUUUUGCCUUCUUCAGAAGAUAAAUAUGGCUACCAUAAAUUGAUAUUAUUUCCAAUAAAUCGUCUUCUAUUUAUGGAAUUUCCGGGCUUGGUCGAAUUCUAUAUAAAGCACUCGCACAAAGAUGAUGGUGAUAUAUCCUCGCAGCGAAGGACGAAACGAUGAACUUUUAUCUUUCAUAGUUCAUAGUUUUUCCUUAAACAUCUUCUAUUACGCAACCUUGAUCGUAAUCGUUCCUCAUAGUCAAUAUUGAAAAAAUAAAAUUAAAUCGGAAGUUUACUUUCGUACGAGUGUAUAGGUGAGGUACGUUCAAAAGUGUUUCAUGGGAAACUCGAAAGUGUUUAUGGGAAUCCUGAUCAAUUUCCGCAAGAGGUAUGCUCAAGCUUUUCAUGGGAAGCUCGAAAGUACUUAUGGGAAUCCUGAUAAAUAUCCGCAAGGAUUUGGAUUAUCUGUGUUUUCUUGGUUUAGGAGCAGGAGAUUGUCAAGAAGGUUUUUAAGAUCAAGAAACAAAAGGAGAGUGUUGCAAAUAGAUAGAUUUGUGAAAACUUUUUUGGGUUAUAUUAGAUGAAGGAAAUUUUGACUUUCAAGUAGAUAACAAAUGCGUGUUUUUAUGUUGUUGGUUUGGUUCGAAUAAAUCGUUUCUUUUGCGUAAAGGUUAAUUUAGGUUCUUUGUUUUUAUGAAAGACCCUGAAUUCGUAUGGGGUGGCAUCCAAGGGUUCGACAAAGGGGUCUAAUAAGUGAUAUGGUGUAGGAGUUCAUCACAGUUACAUUAUAGGUUGAGUUUCUUUGGUUUGUCCUAGGCUUUAGUCAGUUCACUGAUAUAAACUCUUUCAUGUUUGUCGACUGCA